This 207-nucleotide ribosomal RNA is filed under the name uncultured bacterium. RNAcentral's name for it is "partial 16S ribosomal RNA". It matches the Rfam family "Bacterial small subunit ribosomal RNA", at positions 568 to 774 of the family's 1533-position model. The record is from RNAcentral.
CGUGUAGGCGGGUAUAUCAGUCAGAUGUAAAAGACUACGGCUCAACCGUAGAGGGUCAUCUGAAACAGUAUAUCUUGAGUUCGAGAGAGGGUAGUGGAAUUCCUGGUGUAGCGGUGAAAUGCGUAGAUAUCAGAAGAACACCAGAUGCGAAGGCGGCUACCUGGCUCGUAACUGACGCUGAGGCGCGAAAGCGGUGGGUAGCGAACA